GUGCGUAACGCGUAUGCAACCUACCCUUUACUGGGGGAUAGCCCGGAGAAAUUCGGAUUAAUACCCCAUGGUAUCACAAGAUGGCAUCUGAAAGUGAUUAAAGAUUUAUCGGUAAGGGAUGGGCAUGCGUGACAUUAGAUAGUUGGUGAGGUAACGGCUCACCAAGUCCACGAUGUCUAGGGGUUCUGAGAGGAUGAUCCCCCACACUGGUACUGAGAUACGGACCAGACUCCUACGGGAGGCAGCAGUAGGGAAUAUUGGUCAAUGGGCGAGAGCCUGAACCAGCCAUGCCGCGUGCAGGAAGACAGCUUUCUGAGUUGUAAACUGCUUUUAUAUGGGAAGAAAAAGGCCUUGCGAGGCAAAUUGCCGGUACCAUAUGAAUAAGCACCGGCUAACUCCGUGCCAGCAGCCGCGGUAAUACGGAGGGUGCAAGCGUUGUCCGGAUUUAUUGGGUUUAAAGGGUGCGUAGGCGGAUCUUUAAGUCAGUGGUGAAAUCCUGCAGCUUAACUGUAGAAACUGCCAUUGAUACUGGAGAUCUUGAGUAUACUAGAGGUAGGCGG
RNAcentral lists this ribosomal RNA (560 nucleotides) under bacterium w1cb47. RNAcentral describes it as "bacterial SSU rRNA". It matches the Rfam family "Bacterial small subunit ribosomal RNA", at positions 106 to 664 of the family's 1533-position model. The record is from RNAcentral.